AGUUUGAUCAUGGCUCAGAAUGAACGCUGGCGGCGUGCCUAACACAGGCAAGUCGAGCGAGAAAGUCUCUUCGGAGAUAAGUACAGCGGCGGACGGGUGAGUAACGCGUGAGAAUUUACCCUUUAGUGAAGAAUACCUCUGAGAAAUCAGGGUUAAUACUGCAUACGUCCCUACGGGGAGAAAGGUGGCCUCUUUGCUGCCGCUAAAGGAUAAGCUUGCGUACUAUUAGCUAGUUGGUGAGGUAAAGGCUCACCAAGGCGAUGAUGGUUAGCCGGCCUGAGAGGGUGUACGGCCACACUGGAACUUAGACACGGUCCAGACUCCUACGGGAGGCAGCAGUGAGGAAUAUUGCGCAAUGGGCGAAAGCCUGACGCAGCGACGCCGCGUGGAGGAUGAAGGUCUUCGGAUUGUAAACUCCUGUUAAGUGGGAAGAAAGACCUAUUUCUAAUACAGAUAGGGGAUGACGGUACCAUUAGAGAAAGCACCGGCUAACUUCGUG
Molecule: ribosomal RNA, 499 nt
Filed under: uncultured bacterium
Lineage: Bacteria
Description: bacterial SSU rRNA
Rfam family: Bacterial small subunit ribosomal RNA
Source: RNAcentral